CCAAGGAGUNUAACAUGUGCGCAAGUCAUGGGGUUUUACGAAACCUAAAGGCGCAAUGAAAGUGAAGGCAGCCUCGGGUUUGCCUAGGUAGGAUCCUUCCCUCCCAGGGGAGGCGCACUACCGGCCCGUCUCGACCGCAUCGUCGGUGGGGCGGAGCAAGAGCGUACACGUUGGGACCCGAAAGAUGGUGAACUAUGCCUGAGUAGGACGAAGCCAGAGGAAACUCUGGUGGAGGUCCGUAGCGAUUCUGACGUGCAAAUCGAUCGUCAAACUUGGGUAUAGGGGCGAAAGACUAAUCGAACCAUCUA
This 308-nucleotide ribosomal RNA is filed under the name Glycymeris insubrica. RNAcentral describes it as "eukaryotic LSU rRNA". It matches the Rfam family "Eukaryotic large subunit ribosomal RNA", at positions 666 to 946 of the family's 3401-position model. Lineage: Eukaryota; Metazoa; Mollusca; Bivalvia; Arcoida; Glycymerididae. The record is from RNAcentral.